AGAGUUUGAUCCUGGCUCAGGAUGAACGCUAGCGGCAGGCCUAAUACAUGCAAGUCGAGGGGUAACAUGGUCUUCGGACUGAUGACGACCGGCGGACGGGUGCGUAACGCGUAUGCAACUUACCCAUUACAGGGAGAUAGCCCGUGGAAACAUGGAUUAAUAUCCCAUAAAGCAGGGGUUUCGCAUGGAACUAUUUGCUAAAGAUUUAUCGGUAAUGGAUGGGCAUGCGUCUGAUUAGUUAGUUGGUGUGGUAAUGGCGCACCAAGGCGACGAUCAGUAGGGGGUCUGAGAGGAUGAUCCCCCACACUGGUACUGAGAUACGGACCAGACUCCUACGGGAGGCAGCAGUAGGGAAUAUUGGUCAAUGGACGAGAGUCUGAACCAGCCAUGCCGCGUGCAGGAAGACGGCCUUCUGGGUUGUAAACUGCUUUUCUACGGGAAUAAAAUAGUCUUGCGAGACGGAUUGCAUGUACCGUAGGAAUAAGCACCGGCUAACUCCGUGCCAGCAGCCGCGGUAAUACGGAGGGUGCAAGCGUUGUCCGGAUUUAUUGGGUUUAAAGGGUGCGUAGGCGGGUUGAUUAAGUCA
Molecule: ribosomal RNA, 586 nt
Filed under: uncultured bacterium
Lineage: Bacteria
Description: bacterial SSU rRNA
Rfam family: Bacterial small subunit ribosomal RNA
Source: RNAcentral